Molecule: ribosomal RNA, 466 nt
Filed under: Staphylococcus aureus
Lineage: Bacteria; Bacillati; Bacillota; Bacilli; Caryophanales; Staphylococcaceae
Description: bacterial SSU rRNA
Rfam family: Bacterial small subunit ribosomal RNA
Source: RNAcentral
UGCAUAGCCGACCUGAGAGGGUGAUCGGCCACACUGGAACUGAGACACGGUCCAGACUCCUACGGGAGGCAGCAGUAGGGAAUCUUCCGCAAUGGGCGAAAGCCUGACGGAGCAACGCCGCGUGAGUGAUGAAGGUCUUCGGAUCGUAAAACUCUGUUAUUAGGGAAGAACAUAUGUGUAAGUAACUGUGCACAUCUUGACGGUACCUAAUCAGAAAGCCACGGCUAACUACGUGCCAGCAGCCGCGGUAAUACGUAGGUGGCAAGCGUUAUCCGGAAUUAUUGGGCGUAAAGCGCGCGUAGGCGGUUUUUUAAGUCUGAUGUGAAAGCCCACGGCUCAACCGUGGAGGGUCAUUGGAAACUGGAAAACUUGAGUGCAGAAGAGGAAAGUGGAAUUCCAUGUGUAGCGGUGAAAUGCGCAGAGAUAUGGAGGAACACCAGUGGCGAAGGCGACUUUCUGGUCUGUA